GCGGCGUGCCUAAUACAUGCAAGUAGAACGCUGAAGAGAGGAGCUUGCUCUUCUUGGAUGAGUUGCGAACGGGUGAGUAACGCGUAGGUAACCUGCCUUGUAGCGGGGGAUAACUAUUGGAAACGAUAGCUAAUACCGCAUAACAAUGGAUGACACAUGUCAUUUAUUUGAAAGGGGCAAUUGCUCCACUACAAGAUGGACCUGCGUUGUAUUAGCUAGUAGGUGAGGUAACGGCUCACCUAGGCGACGAUACAUAGCCGACCUGAGAGGGUGAUCGGCCACACUGGGACUGAGACACGGCCCAGACUCCUACGGGAGGCAGCAGUAGGGAAUCUUCGGCAAUGGGGGCAACCCUGACCGAGCAACGCCGCGUGAGUGAAGAAGGUUUUCGGAUCGUAAAGCUCUGUUGUAAGUCAAGAACGAGUGUGAGAGUGGGAAGUUCACACUGUGACGGUAGCUUACCAGAAAGGGACGGCUAACUACGUGCCAGCAGCCGCGGUAAUACGUAGGUCCCGAGCGUUGUCCGGAUUUAUUGGGCGUAAAGCGAGCGCAGGCGGUUUGAUAAGUCUGAAGUUAAAGGCUGUGGCUCAACCAUAGUUCGCUUUGGAAACUGUCAAACUUGAGUGCAGAAGGGGAGAGUGGAACUCCAUGUGUAGCGGUGAAAUGCGUAGAUAUAUGGAGGAACACCGGUGGCGAAAGCGGCUCUCUGGUCUGUAACUGACGCUGAGGCUCGAAAGCGUGGGGAGCGAACAGGAUUAGAUACCCUGGUAGUCCACGCCGUAAACGAUGAGUGCUAGGUGUUGGAUCCUUUCCGGGAUUCAGUGCCGCAGCUAACGCAUUAAGCACUCCGCCUGGGGAGUACGACCGCAAGGUUGAAACUCAAAGGAAUUGACGGGGGCCCGCACAAGCGGUGGAGCAUGUGGUUUAAUUCGAAGCAACGCGAAGAACCUUACCAGGUCUUGACAUCCCGAUGCUAUUUCUAGAGAUAGAAAGUUACUUCGGUACAUCGGUGACAGGUGGUGCAUGGUUGUCGUCAGCUCGUGUCGUGAGAUGUUGGGUUAAGUCCCGCAACGAGCGCAACCCCUAUUGUUAGUUGCCAUCAUUCAGUUGGGCACUCUAGCGAGACUGCCGGUAAUAAACCGGAGGAAGGUGGGGAUGACGUCAAAUCAUCAUGCCCCUUAUGACCUGGGCUACACACGUGCUACAAUGGUUGGUACAACGAGUUGCGAGUCGGUGACGGCAAGCUAAUCUCUUAAAGCCAAUCUCAGUUCGGAUUGUAGGCUGCAACUCGCCUACAUGAAGUCGGAAUCGCUAGUAAUCGCGGAUCAGCACGCCGCGGUGAAUACGUUCCCGGGCCUUGUACACACCGCCCGUCACACCACGAGAGUUUGUAACACCCGAAGUCGGUGAGGUAACCUUUUGGAGCCAGCCGCCUAAGGUGGGAUAGAUGAUUGGGGUGAAGUG
RNAcentral lists this ribosomal RNA (1464 nucleotides) under uncultured organism. Its description in RNAcentral is "SSU rRNA". It matches the Rfam family "Bacterial small subunit ribosomal RNA". The record is from RNAcentral.